GAAACGACUGCUAAUACCGCAUAAUGCACCGAGAUCGCAUGGUCUUGAUGCCAAAGAUUUAUCGCUGUGAGAUGGCCUCGCGUCUGAUUAGCUAGUUGGUGAGGUAACGGCCCACCAAGGCGACGAUCAGUAGCCGGACUGAGAGGUUGAUCGGCCACAUUGGGACUGAGACACGGCCCAGACUCCUACGGGAGGCAGCAGUGGGGAAUAUUGGGCAAUGGGCGCAAGCCUGACCCAGCAACGCCGCGUGAAGGAAGAAGGCUCUCGGGUUGUAAACUUCUUUUAUUAGGGACGAUAAUGACGGUACCUAUUGAAUAAGCUCCGGCUAACUACGUGCCAGCAGCCGCGGUAAUACGUAGGGAGCAAGCGUUAUCCGGAUUUACUGGGUGUAAAGGGCGUGUAGGCGGGACUGCAAGUCAGAUGUGAAAACUAUGGGCUCAACUCAUAGCCUGCAUUUGAAACUGUAGUUCUUGAGUGCUGGAGAGGCAAAUGGAACUCCUAGUGUAGCGGUGAAAUGCGUAGAUAUUAGGAAGAACACCAGUGGCGAAGGCGAUUUGCUGGACAGUAACUGACGCUGAGGCGCGAAAGUGUGGGGAGCAAACAGGAUUAGAUACCCUGGUAGUCCACACCGUAAACGAUAAAUAGUAGGUGUGGGGGGUCUAACCCCCUCCGUGCC
This 676-nucleotide ribosomal RNA is filed under the name uncultured bacterium. RNAcentral's name for it is "bacterial SSU rRNA". It matches the Rfam family "Bacterial small subunit ribosomal RNA", at positions 153 to 847 of the family's 1533-position model. The record is from RNAcentral.